This is a long non-coding RNA of Myotis daubentonii (Daubenton's bat), 953 nucleotides long. RefSeq lists it as uncharacterized. The record is from RefSeq and is a predicted model, not a curated record. NCBI's taxonomy places the organism in Eukaryota, Metazoa, Chordata, Mammalia, Chiroptera, Vespertilionidae.
AAGGUUACUUUUGUUCAAAUUUAUUUGAAGGCAUUCUUAGAGGUGAUUUGUGGGAACAUCUUGGAUGAAGAUGGACCAAUUGCCUGUCACUCUUUAACACAAUAAAAUGGAAAACUGUUAAGACUCUGAUGCACGAGAAAUGAGAUAAUGUAUCAGACUUUAUCCUUUCCUCAGACUCUCAAAAGAAAAGCAUAGUCUUGGCUUCAAUGACUGUUCACUCAUGGCAAAAUUCAAGUACCACAGAGGAAUGCCUGUCAACUUUCACAAGCCAACUAUCAUAAAUGAGAACUGGUUUUCAUCGUGGUAAUGCAAACCACUAUGCAACUAGCUGUUUUGAUUCAUCACAUUUUGGUACAACUUGCUUCUGGGAAAGUUGAGUCAUACCAUCUCUGGCUUGGCAAUUCAAGCAUAAACCUGCAGUGUACAUACAGCUUUUUAUAUGUUAUCCUGAGAAACCUGAAACAGCUGCACUGCUGGCAGGAAAACACAGGACCACCAGUAAAAUAUCCAAAACAGUUGCAUCUUUUAAUUUAUGACUGUGCACUGUUUCCAUAAAAGGUAUAUAAAACAGUUCAACUUUUUAUAGGUAAAAUGUAAUAAACAGUCAUACUCGGUGAUGCCAUAAAUGUGUAAAAAAAGUAUAUUUAAAAUGAUUAAUUAGUGUUUGAAAAUAGUGUUUCUUGAACACAGUCAUAAUCCAGCGCAAUGAGCAAAUAUUUUUAUAUUUGAGUUAUUAAUGCUAAGUUGUAGAUUCUCACUGCCCAAACCAAGUCAAUUAAAAUUUCUCAGCAUAGCACUGAAGAAAAUGCAUUUCCCUUCUAGCAAUCAUUUACAUGAAACAUGUCUGUGAGAAUGAUUCUUUAAAGAUCUGCCUAUUUACAUUGCUGUUUUUGAUCUCUAGGGCUGCACAAAACCGUUACUGUUAAAUAUUUUAACCUAUUCUCACCAUGGCA